GACGAACGCUGGCGGCGUGCUUAACACAUGCAAGUCGAACGGAAAGGCCUCUUUCGGGGGGUACUCGAGUGGCGAACGGGUGAGUAACACGUGAGUAACCUGCCCUUUACUUUGGGAUAACUUCAGGAAACUGGGGCUAAUACCGGAUAGGAGCUCCUGCUGCAUGGUGGGGGUUGGAAAGUUUCGGCGGUUGGGGAUGGACUCGCGGCUUAUCAGCUUGUUGGUGGGGUAGUGGCUUACCAAGGCUUUGACGGGUAGCCGGCCUGAGAGGGUGACCGGCCACAUUGGGACUGAGAUACGGCCCAGACGCCUACGGGAGGCAGCAGUGGGGAAUAUUGCACAAUGGGUGGAAGCCUGAUGCAGCAACGCCGUGUGCGGGAUGACGGACUUCGGGUUGUAAACCGCUUUCGCUCAUGACGAAGCUUUGUGUGACGGUAGUGGGUAAAGAAGCACCGGCUAACUACGUG
This 467-nucleotide ribosomal RNA is filed under the name uncultured bacterium. Its description in RNAcentral is "partial 16S ribosomal RNA". It matches the Rfam family "Bacterial small subunit ribosomal RNA", at positions 28 to 507 of the family's 1533-position model. The record is from RNAcentral.